Molecule: ribosomal RNA, 253 nt
Filed under: uncultured bacterium
Lineage: Bacteria
Description: partial 16S ribosomal RNA
Rfam family: Bacterial small subunit ribosomal RNA
Source: RNAcentral
UACGAAGGGGGCUAGCGUUGCUCGGAAUCACUGGGCGUAAAGCGCACGUAGGCGGCUUCUUAAGUCAGGGGUGAAAUCCUGGAGCUCAACUCCAGAACUGCCCUUGAUACUGAGAGGCUCGAGUCCGGGAGAGGUGAGUGGAACUCCGAGUGUAGAGGUGAAAUUCGUAGAUAUUCGGAAGAACACCAGUGGCGAAGGCGGCUCACUGGCCCGGUACUGACGCUGAGGUGCGAAAGCGUGGGGAGCGGUCCGG